Molecule: ribosomal RNA, 428 nt
Filed under: uncultured bacterium
Lineage: Bacteria
Description: bacterial SSU rRNA
Rfam family: Bacterial small subunit ribosomal RNA
Source: RNAcentral
GGGCCCGCACAAGCGGUGGAGUAUGUGGUUUAAUUCGAUGCAACGCGAAGAACCUUACCAGGGUUUGACAUCCUGCGAAUCUCUUGGAAACAGGAGAGUGCCUUCGGGAACGCAGUGACAGGUGGUGCAUGGCUGUCGUCAGCUCGUGUCGUGAGAUGUUGGGUUAAGUCCCGCAACGAGCGCAACCCUUGUCCUUAGUUACCAGCGGGUUAAGCCGGGAACUCUAAGGAUACUGCCAGUGACAAACUGGAGGAAGGCGGGGACGACGUCAAGUCAUCAUGGCCCUUACAUCCUGGGCUACACACGUACUACAAUGCUACGGACAAAGGGCAGCAAGUUCGCGAGGACAAGCAAAUCCCAUAAACCGUGGCUCAGUUCAGAUCGUAGGCUGCAACUCGCCUACGUGAAGGAGGAAUCGCUAGUAAUCG